CCCACCCCCGUCUCUGUGGUUGUGGCGCUGAGCUCCGGCUCUGCAGAGCGCAAUUUCCCCACCCCCCCAAAGCUGUGGGGACCCCCCCAGAGGGGCGGGGUACAGCGAGUGCCAGUGGGUGCGAGAGCUGUGGGUGCCAACUGCCAGGUUCGAGGUUGAGGAGCCACAGCCUCAGGUGUGGGAGAAACUGCUGCUGAAACCCCACAGGUCCAAGGCUGCCAUGGCCCAGACACCGUGGGGACAGUGAGGGCUCCCAUGUCCCUGUGCUGGGGACACUGAGGCCUCCCGUGCUGGAAAGAGUCCGUGUGCCUUCCCUGUGGCACCUCCCUGUGCCUGGUAUAAGAUGAUCUUGCAGGGAAAACCAGGAAGG
This 370-nucleotide long non-coding RNA is filed under the name Serinus canaria (Common canary). RNAcentral's name for it is "lncRNA (ENSSCAG00000006381.1)". Lineage: Eukaryota; Metazoa; Chordata; Aves; Passeriformes; Fringillidae. The record is from RNAcentral.